This 252-nucleotide ribosomal RNA is filed under the name uncultured bacterium. RNAcentral's name for it is "partial 16S ribosomal RNA". It matches the Rfam family "Bacterial small subunit ribosomal RNA", at positions 524 to 776 of the family's 1533-position model. The record is from RNAcentral.
UACGAAGGGGGCGAGCGUUGUUCGGAUUUACUGGGCGUAAAGGGCGCGCAGGCGGCUCAUUUUGUCAGGCGUGAAAGCCCCGGGCUUAACCUGGGACUGCGUUUGAGACGGAUGGGCUAGAGUUCGGGAGAGGAGAGUGGAAUUCCCAGUGUAGAGGUGAAAUUCGUAGAUAUUCGCAAGAACACCAGUGGCGAAGGCGGCUCACUGGCCCGAUACUGACGCUGAUGCACGAAAGCGUGGGGAGCAAACAGG